RNAcentral lists this long non-coding RNA (226 nucleotides) under Lathyrus oleraceus (garden pea). RNAcentral's name for it is "Pisum sativum (pea) long non-coding RNA (PSAT_LNC026233)". The record is from RNAcentral. Lineage: Eukaryota; Viridiplantae; Streptophyta; Magnoliopsida; Fabales; Fabaceae.
AAUUUUCAAGCAAUUACCAAGAUUCUUCAAAGGACAAUCAAGUUUACUUCAUUUGGUAUUCAAGUGUGCAUCAUUAGGCCUUUUGAUGCAAGAAAACAUAAGUUGGCACAUGUUUGGUUGACCUAAAAUCAAGUAUGGCAUGUCACUUGGUCCAAACACCAUAACUCUCUCAUUUCUCAACAUUUUUGGAAUCUACUUUGAGAAAAAUGUCACAUUUUAACUCCUC